AUCCGUCACCUGACACGGCCCUACCAGGAACAGCCGCGCUCCCGCGGAUUCUGGUGCUGCUCGCGUCCCCGCUCCCCUAUUCCCCUUAUUUUAUUCCUGGCUCCCCUCGUCGAAAGUCUUCCAUUCUUCAAACUAGAUUAUUUAAAAAUGAAAAAGGAAGAAAGGAAAGCGAGGUCAUCUCAUUGCUCUAUCCGCCAAUCAGGAGGCUGAAUGUCAGUUUUGAACUAAAAGCCGCUCCGCUCCUCUUCUAGAUUUGGAAAACAAGCGAAAUUAAACUAAACCGCUGCACGCCUCUGACGCGACAUCUGGACACGGCGCGGCGCUGGCGCUGCCGGAGCUGUCGACCCGGCCUGGCGCCGGACUAGUGUCCCUUUUGAUGAGAAGAAUAAGCCUCAUUCUGAUUCAACAGCAGAGAUCAAAGAAAAGACUUCUGUUUUCUGGCCACCAGAUAUAUGUUAUCUGUGCUUAAAGAAUUGAAAAACACACAUCAAAGGAGAAUUUUCUUGGAAAGAGAGGGUUCAAGCAUCACUGUUAGGUGUGCUGGAAUCCUUUCCCGAGUCAGUACUGCUUUCUAGAAGAAAACCGGGGAGAUCUAUUUGGAAUGUAUCUAACUCCAAAGAAACCAUCAGAGGUAACAGGUUAGGAAAUUGAAAUACAGAAAGAUGAAAAGUGAUUUGCCCAAGCAUAUAGAUCAAAGCUGUGGCAGA
RNAcentral lists this long non-coding RNA (707 nucleotides) under Homo sapiens (human). RNAcentral's name for it is "non-protein coding CDKN2B-AS1:55". The stretch from base 373 to 516 matches the Rfam family "CDKN2B antisense RNA 1 convserved region 3". Lineage: Eukaryota; Metazoa; Chordata; Mammalia; Primates; Hominidae. The record is from RNAcentral.